GCGCAGCAGGCGAGAAUCCUCCGCAAUACACGAAAGUGUGACGGGGUUACCCAAAGUGUCCAAAUUUGGACUGUGGUAGGUGAGUAAUGUCCCCUACUAGAAAGGAGAGGGCAAGGCUGGUGCCAGCCGCCGCGGUAAAACCAGCUCUUCAAGUGGUCGGGAUAAUUAUUGGGCUUAAAGUGUCCGUAGCCGGUUUAGUAAGUUCCUGGUAAAAUCGGGUAGCUUAACUAUCUGUAUGCUAGGAAUACUGCUAUACUAGAGGGCGGGAGAGGUCUGAGGUACUACGAGGGGUAGGGGUGAAAUCCUGUAAUCCUUGUAGGACCACCAGUGGCGAAGGCGUCAGACUGGAACGCGCCUGACGGUGAGGGACGAAAGCCGAGGGGAGCGAACCGGAUUAGACUACCCCGGUAGU
This 412-nucleotide ribosomal RNA is filed under the name uncultured microorganism. RNAcentral describes it as "bacterial SSU rRNA". It matches the Rfam family "Archaeal small subunit ribosomal RNA", at positions 330 to 745 of the family's 1478-position model. The record is from RNAcentral.